Solanum stenotomum is the source of this 380-nucleotide long non-coding RNA. RefSeq lists it as uncharacterized. The transcript is spliced from 5 exons. The record is from RefSeq and is a predicted model, not a curated record. Lineage: Eukaryota; Viridiplantae; Streptophyta; Magnoliopsida; Solanales; Solanaceae.
AUUUUUUUUGGAUUUAUUCAAGUGUUUAGUUUAGGAUUUUAGUAAUGGAGUCAAGAAUGGAACAUUAUGAGAUCAUGGACAGAUUGGGCGUGGAGCAUUUGGUGCUGCUAUUUUAGUUAAUCACAAGCAAGAAAGAAAGAAGUAUGUGCUCAAGAAGAUUCGAUUAGCUCGACAAACUGAACGUUGCAGGAGAUCUGCUCAUCAAGAGAUGGCACUAAUCGCUCGUCUUCAACAUCCAUAUAUUGUUGAGUUUAAGGAAGCAUGGGUAGAGAAGGGCUGCUAUGUUUGCAUUGUUACCGGCUAUUGCGAAGGUGGUGAUAUGGCUGAACUGAUGAAAAAAGCAAAUGGGCAAUAUUUUCCAGAAGAGGUAUGUUGACAAU